CUGUUCGUUAUUGGAUUUAUUUCUAAGAAUGUCAUGAAAACAAUAAAAACAACACCACGACAGAUUCCAAAGAGCAAUCAAUUCUUUCAGUGUUUGGUGGAGACAUUCUUCUCAUUUGGCACCAACAUUUCAAGCAACAUCGUGAUGGAACAAAAAUGUUCAAAAUAUAGCAUUAACACAUUUUCUAAUGAUAAUAUACAUACAAACAAGUCCUACUAAUGAAAACAAAUGAAAGCUGAUGCAUCAAUAAUCAACCUAGGUAUACCUCUCAAUGGAGGCUACUCGGUCAAAAAUUUUUAAAAAAUACUUAAAAAAAACAAACAACUUAUAUUAAGUGUAAUUAUGUCAAUUAGUCAUGUAAUUAAAUGUGUAUUAGAUCUAGACUAACAACAAUAAAUCUGUGGGAUUGGAAAUGUUUUUAGCAAUUGUUUUUUUGUUUAGAGCAAUUUCAUGCUUUUAGCUUUUUCACUACGCUAUGAUCUUAUCACUUUGUCUGGACCAGUGGGGAGGAAGGGGAGGGGAGAAAGAAGGGGGGCUCUGAAUGAAUGUUAUCGUGAUCACUUUUUAAUUAAAAAAAGGGAGCUAAUUCAACUUAUAUCACCACAUCUGUCAAUUACAUUUUCUUUCCCUUGUUCGAUAACAAACCAAAUUCUUAAUUGCCAUUAGUUAAUUAAUUAACUGGUUAGUUUUUUAUUGAUACUUGUUUUUGUCAGAUACAAGAAAUAAUUUUGCGAAAUUUGAAUUUGAUCCGAGAUUGGGUGUGGAAGAAACAACGUGUACACUUUUUUUACCAGACAGACAGAGAGAAUGAGUUGAUUGAAGCUAUGUCAAAAUUACCGACAAAAAAUGACAGUGAUGGCGGAAAUUCUUUAACAUUGUUUUAGAGAGAGACAAAUGUACCCAGUAACGUACAGUGUCUGAGACAACAGAAGGGCAUUCAGUAGUAUUAGUAGUCUAUCAUUUUAAAUAUUAUUUGUGCCUACAAUGGCAUUAAACAAAAUUUUGUCUAAGUUAUAAAAAAUGUAAUGAUUGUCUCUGUGUAAAAAAGAUAUUUAGUUUUUACUUUGAUCUUCUUUUAUAUUUAUAUUGACAUUAUUAUUAUUAUUAUUAUUUACAACAUGCGAUUUUAAAUUAGCUAUUGAAAAAUUUAAGCCUAUUUGGUAAAAGUUCCAAUAACUUUAGACCCUGUCUAGACAGCUAACGGUCAUUUGAAAUUAUGGACAAUGUGCACUGGAAACACCCAUAAAUAUAUAUUUACUUUAAGAUCUUAGUAUUGUCCCUAUCCGGAUAAUAAUCAGAACAAACCUUUGCAGUGAUUCCAUUUAUUAGAGUGUAGUGGGUUAUUAUUUUUUUUUUUGUAAACUUAC
Molecule: non-coding RNA, 1367 nt
Organism: Biomphalaria pfeifferi
Lineage: Eukaryota; Metazoa; Mollusca; Gastropoda; Planorbidae
Source: the annotation of a GenBank genome assembly